UGGGCUGUAGCUGAGUAGUAAAAUGCUUGUUUACCAUGCUGGAGAUCCUGGGUUUAAUCCCCAGCAUCUCAA
This 72-nucleotide transfer RNA is filed under the name Ictidomys tridecemlineatus (thirteen-lined ground squirrel). RNAcentral's name for it is "Spermophilus tridecemlineatus (thirteen-lined ground squirrel) tRNA". It matches the Rfam family "tRNA". From Rfam's summary of the family: Transfer RNA (tRNA) molecules are approximately 80 nucleotides in length. Their secondary structure includes four short double-helical elements and three loops (D, anti-codon, and T loops). Lineage: Eukaryota; Metazoa; Chordata; Mammalia; Rodentia; Sciuridae. The record is from Rfam by way of RNAcentral.